RNAcentral lists this long non-coding RNA (715 nucleotides) under Gossypium barbadense (sea-island cotton). RNAcentral describes it as "long non-coding RNA (GBAR_LNC022369)". The record is from RNAcentral. Lineage: Eukaryota; Viridiplantae; Streptophyta; Magnoliopsida; Malvales; Malvaceae.
CUCCUUCUUUUCACGCUGUGUCUUCAAAGAUGCCUGCAUAUAAACCCAGAAAAUCAAACUAGUAAAUUAGACUAUGAUUGGAAAGAAUGCAAGAUGUCCCACGAAUGUAGCCUUUUGCAAAAACUACGAUCUACUCGGAUCUUUUCAAUAAGUACCAAACAUCAAGAACCAAGUUAAAGAUAAACGCAUGCACUCUGAUACAAUAGUCCUGAAGUUUAACGAUAACAUUAACACACACCCGUACUUAUGCCAAAAGUCAUAAAGCACAACCUAAACUCUAGGUAAAUCGAAUUCCACACCAGUACUUAAUUGGUUAAUCGUGUUCCAACAUCAGUACUUAAUUCCGGCACCAAUUCAACGUUAAAUGCCCUAUAUACUUAAUUGGUUGACCAUAAUAUCUUUCAAAUAUGUACCUCCUUACACAAGCACUUGCCAAUCACUCAGAAACCUUAAAUCCUGUAACAAGAUUUAUUUCUUAGGACUAAAAAUAAAUAUUGGCCAUACCCAUUCCCUCAAAAGAACAACUAUUAUUAGAUCCAUUUCAUCCUGGGCUCAGCCAUUUCAAUCCCUCCCCUGUUUACUAUCAAUGUUAUUGACCUUACCAUAAACAAAGACAGCCAGCAUUACCUGAAACUUGCUUUAAAAUUUUCAGAGUUAACAUCACAAAUUCACCGUACCAUCACAUUAAUAUUUUAGGCGUUUUAACAACAAAAUC